UACGUAGGGUGCGAGCGUUAAUUGGAAUUACUGGGCGUAAAGCGCGCGUAGGCCGUCGAGUAAGUCGGGUGUGAAAUCCCUGGGCUUAACCCUGGGAAUUGCAUUCGAUACUGCCUGACUAGAGUGUGGAAGAGGGAAGCGGAAUUUCCGGUGUAGCGGUGAAAUGCGUAGAUAUCGGAAGGAACACCAGUGGCGAAGGCGACUUCCUGGUCCAACACUGACGCUGAGGCGCGAAAGCUGGGGGGCAAACAGGAUUAGAUA
Molecule: ribosomal RNA, 261 nt
Filed under: uncultured bacterium
Lineage: Bacteria
Description: partial 16S ribosomal RNA
Rfam family: Bacterial small subunit ribosomal RNA
Source: RNAcentral